GUCCACGCUGUAAACGAUGUUCACUAGUUGCUGGGUUCCUUGGUGAAAUCAGUGACGAAGCUAACGCAUUAAGUGAACCGCCUGGGGACUACGGCCGCAAGGUUAAAACUCAAAGGAAUUGACGGGGACCCGCACAAGCGGUGGAGCAUGUGGAUUAAUUCGAGGCAACGCGAAGAACCUUACCUAGCCUUGACAUCCCGGGAAGUGAAACGAAAGUAGAUCGUGCCCUUCGGGGAACCCGGUGACAGGUGCUGCAUGGCU
Molecule: ribosomal RNA, 261 nt
Filed under: uncultured bacterium
Lineage: Bacteria
Description: partial 16S ribosomal RNA
Rfam family: Bacterial small subunit ribosomal RNA
Source: RNAcentral